This 253-nucleotide ribosomal RNA is filed under the name uncultured bacterium. RNAcentral describes it as "partial 16S ribosomal RNA". It matches the Rfam family "Bacterial small subunit ribosomal RNA", at positions 524 to 776 of the family's 1533-position model. The record is from RNAcentral.
UACGUAGGUGACCAGCGUUGUCCGGAUUUACUGGGCGUAAAGAGCGCGCAGGCGGUCGUUCAAGUCGAGUGUGAAAGCCCCCGGCUCAACUGGGGAGGGUCAUUCGAUACUGAUCGACUUGAAGGCAGGAGAGGGAAGUGGAAUUCCCGGUGUAGUGGUGAAAUGCGUAGAUAUCGGGAGGAACACCAGUGGCGAAGGCGACUUCCUGGCCUGUUCUUGACGCUGAGACGCGAAAGCGUGGGGAGCGAACCGG